Lathyrus oleraceus (garden pea) is the source of this 1843-nucleotide long non-coding RNA. RefSeq lists it as uncharacterized. The transcript has 8 exons. Lineage: Eukaryota; Viridiplantae; Streptophyta; Magnoliopsida; Fabales; Fabaceae. The record is from RefSeq and is a predicted model, not a curated record.
CUGGUAAGCCUCUUCCUAUUCCGCAGGAAGACGCGUGGGAGACAAAAUCCCAACGAUCACAUGGGGACAACAAUAUCAACGCAAUCAUGAACCCUAAGCAAAAUAGGGGUUGGCGCUGGAUACUGAAGAACAAGAAGAAGCGAGGAAUCUACCGGAUCGGGAUAUUUUGGAGACGAAUGAACAGGGUUUUUCGCUCUCAGUCGCCGUCCAAUCCUCUAGGGUUUUUCUCAGUAGCCGUCGACUUCUCUCUAGGGUUUUUUCGUGGUCGUCCUCUGGUGGAGGAGGAGGCUUCUUUUAUACUCACCCUGUUUAGGGUUUUUGAGCUGGCUAUGGAGAUCAAAAGGGUAAUGCUCUUGGAAGUGCUUUAGGGUGCUCACAGUUUGUCUACAUUAUUCGGUGUUUGAUCUGGAAUAGGAUCCUAAGUCAUUGUUAUCAUUAUCCAACACGGGAGAAUCUCGUUGGACAUUUCCAGAAGUUUAAGAAUCAACACCUGAAUCACUGCAAAUUUCCUCCUUGCCAGCUUGUUGUAAAGAUGAAGACUGAAAUUCACCAUUAUGCAGCUGUGUGUCUCGCUGAACAUGACUUCUGAAUUUUGAACUUGUAUAAGAGCCUCGUAUUCGAGUAUUGAUGUCAGGAUCUUUCAAUGAGCAAUAAAUUUUUCAAGAGCCACACAUUGAGACAUCAACUCCUUUUCAGCAUCAAGAUGCAUUACCAGGGCAAGGGCUUCAAAAAGAACAGCAUGGGAAGCAUUGUUUUGUUUACAUUUCUCACAACAUCGAUUCCCAUCAGUAUCCUUUGCAAGACCUCAAACAAUGAUCUUCUGGUAUUUGGAUUCACAAGUGCAAGAACAUUCACAGUGUUAUCAUUUUUUCAGGUGCUAUACUAUGACGCCCAUCCCUUGCCACUUGCCUCUUUAUUGGCUCAUUACGCUUAGAAACUUAAUUUGGUGCUUGCAACAUCAGAGGACAGAGGUGGCGUGCUGCUGAUGGAAUCAGGCUUAGGUUUGGACAAUAGGAUAUGACAGACCAACAGCAGCUGGCUGCAAUUCGUAACCCAUAAAUCCCAUGCAGCAGGGGGAGCCAUAAGCUUUGCAGGAUUUCUAUCAGGAAGAGAACGUCCUACCGUGGUGAUCGCCGCACCAGUAACAUGUUGAAACAGGACCAGCGUAUGCUGAAACUAUUUCAUCUUUCGUGAAACUGUCUUCCCGAGAGCCAAUCUUAUGAAGAUCAAAGCCUACGGAAGGUGUUUGAGAAAUCCUGCCAAUGUGAUGCUCGUUCAAUACUAAAGGCUGUUGCAUGCUGCCUGAAAAAAACCUUUGAAUUGUUAUGGUUGGCCAUAAUGAAUGUUGUAACCAGAAUGAAACAAGACCCCGUGCAAUGAAUUGCUAGCGCAUGAGAUGCAUUUGGCAUUGGUAUUUCCGCUCUUCUCUAUCCAUGGAAAAAAAUUCUGUUGGAGGAACAUUGCAUUUACUUCUCUUGACUUCGUAGCCGGCUACUGAAGAUCCUAUGAAUAAAACCUUUAUCAAAAGCAAGAGGUGAUUCGCUGGUCAAACCAGAAGGUUUACAACCAUGUCUGCGGGCGAUGGAUCAUGAAAACCAGUUGACGUUAAAGAAAUGGAAAUAGAAACUGUCCUGAAGUGAACAACGAAUAAGAUUUUCUCGAGGAGUUGAAGAAGAAAGUGGACCGCCAAACAGGGAGCUUGUCUGGCGUGGAAAUGGCUGCGCCAUUAUAGGAUUUGGUCUUGAUGCAGAAAUAUAAACUGCUGGUCCAUAAUGAACAACAGAUUCUGCAGAAGAUCGUCCUAUUCGCAAUGUUAACAUAGUUCGACCUUGUUCAAGUAGAA